RNAcentral lists this ribosomal RNA (899 nucleotides) under uncultured bacterium. Its description in RNAcentral is "bacterial SSU rRNA". It matches the Rfam family "Bacterial small subunit ribosomal RNA", at positions 1 to 847 of the family's 1533-position model. The record is from RNAcentral.
UUUAACGAAUUCGCCCUUGGAUCCAGACUUUGAUCAUGGCUCAGGAACGAACGCUGGCGGCGUGCUUAACACAUGCAAGUCGAACGGGAGGAAAAGAGAAGCUUGCUUCUUUUUGAAUCUAGUGGCAAACGGGUGAGUAACACGUAAACAACCUGCCUUCAGGAUGGGGACAACAGACGGAAACGACUGCUAAUACCGAAUGUGUUCCGGAGACCGCAUGAUUUCCGGAAGAAAGGAUGGCCUCUAUUUAUAAGCUAUCGCCUGAAGAGGGGUUUGCGUCUGAUUAGGCAGUUGGUGAGGUAACGGCCCACCAAACCUACGAUCAGUAGCCGGUCUGAGAGGAUGAACGGCCACACUGGAACUGAGACACGGUCCAGACUCCUACGGGAGGCAGCAGUGGGGAAUCUUCCGCAAUGGACGAAAGUCUGACGGAGCAACGCCGCGUGAGUGAUGACGGCCUUCGGGUUGUAAAGCUCUGUGAUCGGGGACGAAUGGCUGGUAUGCUAAUACCAUAUCAGAGUGACGGUACCCGAAUAGCAAGCCACGGCUAACUACGUGCCAGUAGCCGCGGUAAUACGUAGGUGGCAAGCGUUGUCCGGAAUUAUUGGGCGUAAAGCGCGCGCAGGAGGCUUCUUAAGUCCAUCUUAAAAGUGCGGGGCUUAACCCCGUGAUGGGAUGGAAACUGGGAGGCUGGAGUAUCGGAGAGGAAAGUGGAAUUCCUAGUGUAGCGGUGAAAUGCGUAGAGAUUAGGAAGAACACCGGUGGCGAAGGCGACUUUCUGGACGACAACUGACGCUGAGGCGCGAAAGCGUGGGGAGCAAACAGGAUUAGAUACCCUGGUAGUCCACCGCCGUAAACGAUGAAUACUAGGUGUAGGAGGUAUCGACCCCUUCUGUGCC